GAAACAAACAAAAUAAUAAAAACUUUCAACAACGGAUCUCUUGGCUCUGGCAUCGAUGAAGAACGCAGCGAAAUGCGAUACGUAAUGUGAAUUGCAGAAUUCAGCGAACCAUCGAAUCUUUGAACGCACAUUGCGCCCGCCAGUAUUCUGGCGGGCAU
RNAcentral lists this ribosomal RNA (158 nucleotides) under Sporothrix rapaneae. RNAcentral's name for it is "5.8S ribosomal RNA". The stretch from base 21 to 158 matches the Rfam family "5.8S ribosomal RNA", at positions 1 to 138 of the family's 154-position model. From Rfam's summary of the family: 5.8S ribosomal RNA (5.8S rRNA) is a component of the large subunit of the eukaryotic ribosome. It is transcribed by RNA polymerase I as part of the 45S precursor that also contains 18S and 28S rRNA. Lineage: Eukaryota; Fungi; Ascomycota; Sordariomycetes; Ophiostomatales; Ophiostomataceae. The record is from RNAcentral.